Molecule: ribosomal RNA, 773 nt
Filed under: uncultured Neocallimastigales
Lineage: Eukaryota; Fungi; Neocallimastigomycota; Neocallimastigomycetes; Neocallimastigales
Description: partial large subunit ribosomal RNA
Rfam family: Eukaryotic large subunit ribosomal RNA
Source: RNAcentral
GUAGUCUCGCACAGAUGCAUAUCAAUAAGCGGAGGAAAAGAAACUAACAAGGAUUCCCCUAGUAACGGCGAGUGAAGCGGGAAGAGCUCAAAUUUGAAAUCUUAAAGGGUUUCCCUUUACGAAUUGUAGUUUAAAGAAGUGUUUUCUGUUGAGGUUUUGGUAAAAGUUCUUUGGAAUAGGACAUCAUAGAGGGUGAGAAUCCCGUAUUUGACCUUUACUUUCAACUUUGUGAUACACUUUCAAAGAGUCGGAUUGUUUGGGAAUGCAGUCCAAAAUGGGUGGUAAAUUUCAUCUAAAGCUAAAUAUUGGCGAGAGACCGAUAGCGAACAAGUACCGUGAGGGAAAGAUGAAAAGAACUUUGAAAAGAGAGUUAAACAGUACGUGAAAUUGUCAAAAGGGAAGCGUUUGACACCAGUGUUGUUUUUCUGAAAAUCAAUUAAAGAACUGUUUAUGCUAAGCUGUUUAGACUUUAUCAGCUAUCUGUUUAGUUUUGAGCUUUUCUUUAAUACACUUUUCAGUUAACAAGUCAACAUCAAUUUCUUUUGCUGUAAAAAAGCUUGAGGAAGGUGGCUUGAGAUUCGUCUUAAGUGUUUAUAGCCUCUUGCCUAUGCAGUCGGAGAGAUUGAGGUCUGCAGCGUAGAUCCUUCGGGGCUAAAUGCAUUUGUGCUAAGUUAUAGCAUUUUAUAGACAACUUGUUGACUAUGAUUUGUCUUGUAGCUUACUCGCUUAUGUUAUUUUACCUACGCUUAGGAUGUUGAAGACUCUACAGAGAU